AAACCCGUGUCCAUAUUGUGUGUGUGAAGAAGCAUCGAAGCGCGGCAGCCAUGUUCAGCGUGGCAUUUCGGAAGGCUUGUCAGGGGUGGAGAAGCGGGGCGGGUUGCUGUUCUUUCACCUGACACUAAAGCGCCAUGCCGGAAGCACUGAGUCUGAUACGUCGGAACCAGUCUCCACCGUGUGGUUUGGUCUUGAUUUCCACUGGUACUCUGGGGUCUUGGAUAAGUCUCUGGACCUCGCCUUUGUCAUUUGCGAAGUCGAUAGGUUCCAAUAGAGAUUUUCCCAGAAUCAUUCAACUAAAAAUAGAGAACUUUUUUUUUUUGAGAGGAAGGACGGGGGCGCAGUUAAAGAUGUUAAUGUUAAGUCAUCCCUUCUGUGAUUUCGGGACAUUAUCUUUGCACGCCAUGUGAAGAUGUGCUUGCUUCCUUGUCACCUUCCGCCAUGAUUGUAAGUUUCCUGAGGCCUCCCAGGAAGCAGAAGCCUGUACAGCCCACAGAACCAUGACCUGAUGAAAUCUCUUUUCUUUAUAAAUUACCCAGUCUCAGAUCUUGCUAUGCUUGUCAUUGUGUAAGCAGCAAACUUGCAGUGACCAGUUGGAUUCCACCCCCCUGAUGUUGGUGGUGUGCUCUUGGGGAGAUGUCUUCCAGACAGGCAAAGAAGAGUGACAUCAUCAGAGCAUGGACGACCUCAAAGAUAUUCCAGCUAUGGACAUUUCAAUUAUCCUCUGAAAUGGAAUAAUCCUCAUUGAAAGCAUGAUACUAGAAGCUCAUGAGGAUUAUUUUCAAAGAAAGCUGUGCAGAAGAGUUGGCUCAGCAGGCUUGGCAUGCUCAAACCAGCUCCUGGGAGAUAACCUACGAGCCCUUGGAAUAGUCUGUGCAAUAGGGGUCCUGGAGCACUCCAUAUCAGUUUGAUCUCUGGCUGGGGAGGAGCUGGAGAUUAAGUAUUUAAGAUCAGCCAUGUAGGUAUUCUGUGCCUACCUGACUGACCCCCAUUAAAGAGUCUGAACACCAAGUCUUGGGUGAGCUUCCCUGAGGAAACAAAAGGAGGGUGUUAGAGGAAAAAGAGGGAAACCCACUGACAGAGAGGAAGGCUGAAGAGAUCCCACCGCUGACUUGGACUAAGGAGAGAGAAGUCAAAGAGUGGUUACCUGGAUGAGGUGGCUGAAUAUGGGCCUGCUCUUGUCACUUUGGAUGUCACAACUAGCCUUGAGAAGAGCUGCUGUUCCAGGAGUCUGUCACAACUAGCCUUGAGAAGAGCUGCUGUUCCAGGAGUCUGUAGCCAAGGACGUACAGCAGUGGAGGCUGACUCAUCGCAUAGCUGAGUGACCAAUUGCUUGGCAUGAGUUUACUUUAAUGGCUGUUUCUGAGUUUGAUCCCUCUCCGGAACCAACCCCUCUGAUGUGUCCUGUUCCAGCAGGAAGAGACAGACCUGGAGGUUCUGUACUUGUGAUUUCUGGUUGUGGAUCCUGAGAACAAGAAGUACUGGGAUCCUAAAGUUCUGACAUUUGCAAAGCAGAUUAAUGACCUACCACAUUCCAGAUCAUUUGGUGAUUUUGUGUGUGCGUGUGGGUGUGUGUGUGUGUGUGCCAAAUUCAAGGUGGUCCCAGCCUUUCUAGUCUUCUCUAACCUUUCUUCUCAGAAGUCGCACCUGUUCUGUCUUUCUAGGAUAUAAUUUUUUUUCUAUUAGCCUGGGUAACACCCCAACCAAUAAAGUUUGCAAUAUCCAAGCCUCCUAAUUUCUCUACUUAUUAGCUUAUAUUAAGCUUCAGCAUGAGCAAGCCUAAAAACUCGCCAUUAUCUGGAAAAGUUCUAUUUCACAGGCUUUAAUCUCUCCUAGAGUAGUUAGCACUCUUUUGUGGCUUUGUGUUCCUGUACUAGCUUGAAUUCCACAGUCUGACGUUAAUAAUUAGCUCCUUAACACGUCCAUCCUCUCUUGAUGUCCUGCUCUCUAUUUUUCCUUCUUUCUUCCAAGUUGGGAUAAAUUCAGCUUCUUAUUUUCCUGCUCCAGACCUUGGUUGUGGAGAAAGAUAGAAAAAGUUCCAUACAGGGGACUCUGUGAUCCUGCUAACAUCAUUAUUUACCUAAGCUCUUUAGACUCCAGUGAAAGCUUCUGAUUUAAUGUCAUGUCCCUACUUUAUGCCACAUGUCCCAUACCAUUUUCUUUGUUUUAUGCAAUUUAUUUCCACUAUCUGAUCCCAUUCCACCCACAUGACUUUGAGUGGAAAACUUCAUCUCUUCAUUGCUGAGUAAACAAACUUCAGGAUGAACAAGCCCUGUCCACUAUUUUCCCUUUUACUUUAAAAUUCUGGAAUUUUUAUGAUCUACGUUUUUUUCCUCUGUUUUUAUUCUUCACUCCAUAUCAACUUACUUGGGGAUCUACACCUUCAUUCAUUCUUUUCAUUCUGUCGGCACCUGGCUAUGGAGUUUACAUUUCUCAUCAUAUUUACUCCUCAUAAUAAUCCUGUGAGGUAUAUACCACUCUGAGUCUUGUAUAAGAGAAAAAGAAACUGAGAUAGGGAUAACUCAAAGGGAUAAUUCAUUUGCUGGAGCUACCAACUAGCUACUAACCAUGCUAGAAUGGACAGAGAUGACAUUCAUGCCAAAGACCAUGUUGACUUGCUAUCUCUACAUUUGCUCUAAGUUUAGAAAAAAAAAAUCCCUUCAAUUUAUCCUCCAACAGUCUUCUUAGAACCUUACCAUGGAUGCCUUGUAUAACACAUUUCACCUUUCUGGUAAAAAAAAAAAAAAAAAAAAAAAAAAAAAAGUACCCCUCUUCCUUUCAUUAAAUCUUGCUUUUCCCAAAGCCAGUGAUUUUAAUCUCUUCAAAAUACUGCCUUCUAAUUUAUUAGAAUAUAGGCUCUGUUAAGGAAAAGGCCUUGCCUAUAUCUGUUAAUAAUUUUUACCUUGUAAUCACAGUGAAGAGCAUUGAAUUUGCCACAUGGUAAGUAUUCAGUAAAUAAAUAGAUAUAAGGUGAAAUAAAGUAGUCCACCCAUCCCUUUUUUAUUCGGUUGUUUACUGUGUUCUUGGAUAUUUUUAAAAAUGUGUCUUCACAGAUGUAAUUUAGAGACAUUGUAUCUAGUCCACCAAAAAAAAAACACCUAAUUUUGAUGAAGGAGUCACAUAAAUUUUGGAAAAGUAAUAUUUUUAUAAUAUAGUUCCUUUAUACAUGAAUAUGAUGGGCCUUCUUUUUGACUUGCAGGGUAGUUUAUCCAUUUUAUUUAUGUACAGAUAUUACCUGAAUGGUGGACACAAAUCCAAAUACAAAUCUGAUCUUGUUGCCCUACUCAAGUCCUCCAUUGGCUCUUCAUUGCUUAUAUUAUGGUACUAUUAUUUAUGGUAAUAAUACUCGGGUAUGACAAAAGUAACAUUUUACUUUGUGUAACUGAAAUCAACUUGUUCAUUUUACUUAAGGAUAAAGUUACCCUUUAUUUUCCCCCUGAAUAGAAACACACACAAUAUUCCUUGCAUACUUUUCAUGUAUGCAAUGUUGCUUCCCUUCACCCUC
This 3505-nucleotide long non-coding RNA is filed under the name Homo sapiens (human). RNAcentral's name for it is "non-protein coding lnc-HTR4-1:5". The record is from RNAcentral. Lineage: Eukaryota; Metazoa; Chordata; Mammalia; Primates; Hominidae.